Molecule: ribosomal RNA, 200 nt
Filed under: uncultured bacterium
Lineage: Bacteria
Description: partial 16S ribosomal RNA
Rfam family: Bacterial small subunit ribosomal RNA
Source: RNAcentral
AGAGUUUGAUCCUGGCUCAGAGCGAACGCUGGCGGCAGGCUUAACACAUGCAAGUCGAGCGCCCCGCAAGGGGAGCGGCAGACGGGAGAGUAAUACGUGGGAACGUGCCCUUUGGUUCGGAAUAACUCAGGGAAACUUGAGCUAAUACCGGAUAAGCUAACGGGGAAAGAUUUAUCGCCAUUGGAGCGGCCCACGUCUGA